Long non-coding RNA from Gallus gallus (chicken), 13753 nucleotides. RefSeq lists it as uncharacterized. Lineage: Eukaryota; Metazoa; Chordata; Aves; Galliformes; Phasianidae. The transcript is spliced from 3 exons. The record is from RefSeq and is a predicted model, not a curated record.
AUGCCGAGUCCCUCUUUUGUCCCCUUAAUGAAUAAUAACCUCUUAAUGGCACUCUCCUGGGGCUUUGUCACUAGCUUGACAGCAUCUAAUCGUGUAUUAUUGGCUCAGCUGAAUGGGUCACUGGCUUUACUGGACUUGCACAAAGGACGUUGUAAAGAUGCAAGUGCGGUCCAACUCUUCCAAGGAUGCAGUUAUACUUCCUCCAUUUUUGGCACACCUUGACUUUGGAGUUUUUGAGAGCAAAAUGGAGACAUCUGCUUUACCUUCUGUCUCAGUGGAAAUGAACUAAGAGGACUUAUGAAAAACCCUAACGUUACUGGGGGAGUUUAGCCCCAAAUGUGGAAGUAAAAUGACUGUAACCCUCUUGGUUUGCCUUUACCAGAGCCUUCUAGGCUGUCAUCUACUUCUGGCUUCGCUCAGACUCUGCAGUCCAAAGAGUCAUGUGCAGUGACCCGCCACCAUCCCUGCUUCAGACUCCAGAGUCAGGUAGUUAGAUGAUUCCCUUUCAUGUAAGUACUUUUUUAUCUUUCUUAUCUGUGGAGGGAAGCCAGCACAAGUCAUCUUUGAAGGUAAGGAAAAUGGAACCAAUGUUUUGUAUCCCAGAAAUCUCAUUAUUUUCCAACUAAUCUGCUGACCUCGAAUGCAGGGGUUUGGCAGUUUCUUUAAGGGCUGUUGCUAAACAGAGCAGAAGCAGGUCCAUCUUGGGAAAGUCUGCAUGGGUACAAUAUGAAUUUUCUGUAAGGUGAAUUCUUUGGGCUGUGUCAGAAUGAGACACUGUGGGUGACUUGCCUUUGUCUCAAGCUUGAUGGUAGUUGCCUUUGUCUCAAGCUUGAUGGUAGAUUUCACAAGAGGAAAAAAGUGUGUUUAAGAAGUUACUUGAUGCUGAUCUGUCCAGAGUUUUUUUCCCAGGCUGGAUUUAGGGAAGGAUUAUCUCAGAUUUUCAUUUAGUUCUGAAAUCCUGGGUAUUGGUUUUAUAAACUAAACCCCCUUCGCAGCAGGUUGCUUGUUCUGUAUUGUUGUUUUAGCUUGGUGCAUAGAAAGGAAUUUAAAUUCACUGACAGGGUGGGGCUAGCUCCUCGCUGGGGUAAAUCAGCAUAGUUCAGAUAUUUAAAGGCAGAUGCAUCAGUCCUGGCAGCCGAGGAUCUGGCUUACUUUGAUUAAAAUCUGAUGAAGAUUACUCAGCCUUACCAAGGGACUUGGAUUACCAUUCUAUAAAAAGAAGGGCAGGAGAGCAGAGGACAUUAAAUAUAAAAAUAAUCCAACGAAGGAUGUGAAGCUAAAAGCGUGGCACGUUGAACAAUGAUGCAAACACCCUACUGAAACAGGUGGAGGGCCGCAGGGCUGGUGGGUGCACGCAAGGCUGGAAGCUAGGUUUGAGUCAGAAAGACAUUGCUCUUGUCACAGCCCUGGUCUUGUCUUUUAAAGGCAGAAUGUUCAGAAAGAGAGCCUCGCUCCUUAGAAAAUCCCCAGGGGAGUCUUGCAGGAGAAGAAGUGGGUGACAAAUCCUCUGCCUCUGCUUCCUCGGGGACCCAGGCUAGUGCCAAAUCUCACUACAAAGAGGUGAUUAGAGCUGAGGAACAGAAAGUCAGCUCUUACAGAUCUGAAAGCUUGAAAUGUGCAUCAUCUUUAGGGUUUCUUACAGAGGUUGAACUUCACCUCUCCCUUCUAUCGCAGCGUUCGUUUUCCUGGUUCUUUGUUCCUUUGAAAGCAUGAAGUGUAUUUAGGGGCUGUUAUUACUCCAUGUGAUUGUGCUCCAUGGGCAAUGACCGAUAGAAGGGCUGCAAUGAGCCCCUUUUUUUUUUGGCCUUUUAAACGUUUCUGUCAAACCUUUCAGCACAUGUCUAGCUUUCCCAAGAUUUCGUAUCCAGUCCCUUAAAAUCAAUACAAUCUGGUCUUGCCUCUGCAGUGGAGCUAUUGAUAGGGAAGAUGCACUUGGGUCUUCAUCUAACUGCUUUUUGAAGCCCCUAAACCCAUUUGUCUCUUCUUUUGAUGGAGCUUGCUGCCUUGCUCAAUGGCUUGCUUGCAUAGGAAGCACCUUCCUUGCUGACCUCUGUUAAAAACGUGGAAGGUCUUCAAGUAGAGUUGCAGGACUUGUGAUUUGAGUGUCCUUCUUUACCCAGACCAAGGAGAACAGAGUGCAUGGUGCGUUGGCUGGUCUGGAAUCUGUCUAGGGUGGCUGGAAGAUGCUUUAAUGGUGUCAGAAGGCUGCGGGAGCCUGGACAGUGAGGUUGAGCGGCCUUAAGAACGUUGCUGACUUAAACUGACGCAUCUAAAUGCGCUGGAGGAAAGACGAGAGGGCUGUUUGGGGACCUCCUGGGUGAUUACAUACAUGGCUGGUCAGCGACAUCGCCUGAGUGCCCCGGCAGCUAUGCCAGUCUUCCAGUUUUCUUUCAUUGCAGUUCGGAUACAACCCUGCUGCAGAUUAUAGACGUGUUUUGGUUGAGAUUCUCUGUGCUUGAUGCAUUGUCUGCCUGCAACGCAGGGCAAACUCUACUCCUCCCUUCUGGCCCGGCCUGUAAUGAUGGAUUAAGUAGAGUCUGCCCUCAGAAUUCAGGUCCUUGUCCAGGACUCUGGGAACCUGCCUGCGUGUGAUUGACGGCAUCACGUGAGCGUGUAUGGGGCUGCAUCUCAUGCUGUCGGGUCAGAGAUUACCUCCAAGCAGCCAAUACUCAACAUUCAGUCAGAAAAGAUGCAAAGAAGCAGAGCCAUUCCCCUCUCUGUGUCAUCUGCCUCUGAGAGUGGGAGAGUGCUGGCAGAGCGCUACCGGGUCUGUACUGGUAUAGAGAGGAAGGCUCAGAUUUGAUGAUUUGUCCAUUAUCUGGUGGUGGAUACAGCCUAACCUGGGCUCAGAGCAUCCCAAGGUCUGUAUCCUAGUGCAGGAACUGGCUGCUGCUGCUCUCUUCUGAAUAGACAGCUUUCUCCAGCCUCACAGCAUGCUAAUGUAGGCCAGUCACCUUCACCACAACUCCUGGCGCAAGAUAUUCAGCAGACUUGAUGCUUCAUAGUAGGCUGAAUCUGGUAUAACCAAGGCAGAAUUUCUACCUGCCAGUAGUGAAGUAAUGCCCUGUGAUUUCAAGUGACCACUGGUUUGACAGCAGUAGUGAAAGGGAAAGGCAUGAAUAGGCCGGAUAUCAGGAAAACCUUCUCAGGAGUGAUGAGGCUGUGAAAUGGACUGCCCAGGGAGGUGGUGGAGUCACUGUCCCUGGAGGUGUUCAAGAACUGUGGAGACGUGGCACUGAGGGACGUGGUUUAGUGAGCAAUAAUGGUUGAUGGGUGGACAGCUGGAUUAGAUGGGUCCGACUAGAGGUCCUCCAAUUAGAGGUCUUUUCCAGUCUAAAUGAUUCUAUGAAAGCAGUCGACCGUUUUCUUGCAGUCUCUGAGGAGCUUGGAUAUGGUGUCUGAAACGAGCUAAGGAAGCCACCUAAUCUCUGAGCACAUCCACCUUCUGCAGCAUACACCCUUCCAGCCACAAAGAGGUCCUGAGUCCCUCAGUGGCUGCAAAGAACAGCAGGUAGAUGGAGCAGACAGAGAUGGAGAGCAUUCUUUUGUUGCUUUUUUUUUGGGGGGGGGAGUAUCGUUGAAGAAUCAGGGUGACAAAAAUAUUUUGAUGGAAGUGACUAUGUGAAAUAUCUUUUCAUUUUGAUUAUUUGAAAAACAAAAACUGUUCAUGGGUUUUAAAAUUCAUGUCCCCUCCGGGUUGCUUUGUUUUGUUUUGUUUCUUAUUCCUUCUCCCUUAUUCCUCAGAGGAAGCCAUCCAAACCUACACGGUGCGUCAUUUCUUGAGGAAAUGCAGUGUGAUCUUUUUUUCCAGUUUAACCUGGGCUGAAAAAUCUUCUGGUGUUUCAUUUGCCUGAGAAAUCAGAAAAAAAAAGCUUGGAUGAAACAGGAAUCUGACUGGUUCACAGGGAACCUUCUUGGUUUUGGAGACCCAUUUGGGUGGGGUAGCUGCAGGAGCUCUUUGCUGUGCAGGUUGGGGAGGAGGUGAUGCCAUCUUUGCCUGGGCCAUACUUUGUGCCCAAUGCCUUCUCCAGGGGUGAGGGGCAUAAGGGGUGCAGAGCUGUGUCUUGGUUGCAGCAGGGAACUGCUACCACUGAAGUAUGAUUCUCAGCUUUCUGGAGUUGUGGAAAACAUCUGGACAAUGGUUGAAAUUGGAAGAGCGAAGGGCUAUCCUGGCUUUUGAGGGCAUAUCAUGGGAUGUCCCGCAGGUGGCUUGUUGGAGGUGAACCACAGAGGGAGGACUGCACUGGAGAGGCAUAGAGGCUCACAUGGGACGGGAGUGGUGGCAACUGCCUGUAUGCCUGAAAGCAGGGCAAGCAGUGGGCUGGGGGUGGAGGAGACCACCUCCGCCUGUUGCUGCCAUCUCCACGAGCUGCCAGCUCUGCCGUGUAGCUUUGCCCAGAUCUGCAGUAGAGCUGCUCAUCCCCAGCCCUGCCAUCCCUGUGCCCCACAUGCUGCCUCUCCUAUAAAUAGCCGGAUGGGAAGCAGAGCGCAGAGCCGCCGCAGAUGGCCCCCAGUUCCACGCGCACUCAUGUGUGAGAUCCCAGAGAGGGGCUGUCAAUUCCUUGCCUACAGCCACCCAUGCAACCUCAUUAAGGAUGGUGUCGUCUUCCUUAACCCCCAUCGCCCCCUCCCUCCCCACUUCAACGUGCCUCCAUUUGAGCACCCUUAUUAAACGUGCACUUCUAAGCAAGGAGCGCUGACUUCCCCUUAAUUGAGGCAUAAUAAUUAGAGCAUUAACACAUUAGGAGAGUGAGACAGCAUGUUUAGCUUUUGUGAUUAAUUAUCUGAGGAUUGUAAUAAGUUGUUAAGACAUUAAUUACUCUGGCAUGUUUAUUGCUCUUUAUUGCAGAACUGACACUUGGUGGAAGAGUUGCUGGUGUGCCUGGCGGUGCACCGUGAGGUGGGCUGGCCAGGGGAGACCUCUGCUCCCCCAUAGACACUGAGCUGCUGCUUGGGAAUGGAUCUAGGGGAGCAGAAACAGCUCCUGAACCUCCAGCAGGACACCUCGGGAUGGAAGUGGUGUCUGAAUCUCUUAGAGUCGUAGGAUUAUGAAGGUUGGAAUAAAACACUGAGAGCAUCAGCCCAUCCCCACCGUGCCCACUAAACCAUGUCCCUCAAUGCCGCGUUCUCCCUCAUCUUGGGGCAGCCUGGGAGCUGGAAGGCUUAUUUUUAUGGAUGGUUUCAGCUGGAUUUCUCUCUUCUUUCAAACAAAGUGUUUCCUCUCGGAUGGUUUGAGCCUGCCCUCAUUUGGAUCUUUGUUUUUGCAAAUCCAAGUCAGCGUGGCUCAUUGUGCCUGGAUCUGAGGAGGAUGGCUGUCUGUUAACGACAAGCUGAAGUUCAGCGUGUCGGCGGUGGUCAGGGAGUGAACCAGGACCCCAGUGGCCUCGCUUGGCUCUUGAUCAGAUGAAUUUUCUUCUGGAGAGCUGGGAGGUGGGUUAGGGAAGGCUGUUGCUGUGGCAGCAGGAGUGGAUCAGCCCUCUGCAGCCUGUUCUUCACACAGCAAGCUGCUCAGCGACCUGUCAGAGCUGUGCUGAUCAGAUGGGGGCUGAAGGCAGAGUUCAGAGCAGGAGGAUGGGUGGGUCCAUGUGCUGCUGUGACAGAGAAAAAAGGAAGCAGGAGGCUGCGAUGGGCCUGUUCCAGCCUUCUGCUUUUCCCAUGAGUUGCACAGUGCCAGAGUCUUGCUGUCCAGCUCUUUGGGUGGGGGACAGCACAGGAGAAAUGGGGGGAAAUGGAGUAACAGCCCCAGCCACUGGCAUGGAGAAUAAAACUGGGAAAAUGGUGAAAGUCGAGAAGGUGAGAAAGCUGUGAGUUUUGUGUGUUUGCUGUUGGUUUGAUAUUGGAUGGCCCCAUCCCUGCCGACAGCCAAGGUCAGGCUGGAUGGGCUCUGAGCACCACUAGGGCUGUGAGUGUCCCUGCUCAGUGCAGGAGGGUUGGACCAGAUGGCCUCUGAGGGUCCUUUCCAGCUCAAAACGAUGCUGUGGUUCCUUGGGGAGCCCUAGAGCUGAAAUGUCUGGUUUCCAGCCUAUGGCAGUGCCCUUGUGGCUUUGCAACACGUGCUUGUGUCUUGGGGUAGCAGCCAAGGGAGUGGGAGGGGGUCUUUAAACGUGAAGACCCUGUCCGGUUCGCCUUUCCCAAGGACAGACUGUCUCACUGUGGCUCCCACCAGCUCAAUCUGCUGUCACUGUGUCACUGGCACUGGUGGCCAGGGAGCUGCACAAGGCACUGAAUGCCCUCCUCGUGUGCGAGCUGGGAUCCAUCUUGUGUCAGCUGCCUUCAGCACCUCCGAGCCCACACUGCCUUGCUGAAGCCCAGCCUGAAUAUGGCAUUUGCUGUCAGGUGGCUGAUUUCUGCCUGCAGAAUAUGGAGAGCGUCAGCCUGGCAUUUCCCACUUGCCUCCUAGGGACAAAGCAGGUCAUGACUUCCGUGUAUUAUCAUUAAAAAGAUAAUUUCCUCUAGAUGUGUGCAAUAAGACAAUGGUGCUGACCUGUGAUCCUGGCAUUGCACAGCAUUAAUGAUUUCCCUUUGCAGGUAAUAAGCAGCAAAUGUACACAUUUUGGGGAGAUCUGAAUUAGUUUUUUUCCCUCCUUUUAAGACUGCUGUCUUCCUAGGCCAGACUUAAUUAGCAGACCUCAUUAUUUCCUGAAAUGUAACUUGACUUCCAUUGAAUGAGAAUUGUUCAGUGGAUGGGGAGCAGCAGAGCGGUGCUGCAAUAUUCAUAUUGUUUAAAUUGCAACAUUAACAUUUCAUGCCGCUCUUGGCAUAUUUUCAGGUGCGGCCCUUUAGCUCAAUGCAGUGCUGUGAAAGGUUGGAUCAGAACAAUUAGGAUACAGCGACUGGAUUUCUGGAUUAUUAUUAUUAUUAUUUUUUUUUUAAGCAACACAAGCUUAGAUUCAAUGCCCAUCACUCUAUUUGUUUGGCAGAACAGGGAUUCCAGCGCCCCUGAAGUAAAUGCUUUUCUGGAAUAAAGGAUGUGCUGUAGCACAUGCUCACCUCCUCUCUUAGCAGAGAUGAAGCCCUGCAGGUACAUGCAGUACGUGAUUCGCAGGGCUGGAAGCACCUCCUGGGACUUGACCUUCACUAGCUAAAUAGGAGAACUCCCAAUAAUGCUUCUGGCCACCUAGGCCACAGUCGCACACAAAAAGGCUGUUUCCCACUUUGCCCUUGUUCUUGGAUGCCUCAGGCUGGAGGUGGCACUGUAGUAAUGCCCAGGUCCAAGCGGAUCCUACAUGAGCACGUGGAUUGCACUCCCUAUCUCCAAACAGCCCGUGGGCCUUGGUCCUGCACAGGGGCUCCAGUGACCUUUGCUGCCUUGCCCCAUAGUGUGCUUUCCAGUAGUUUUUCCUGUACUGGAGUUCAGUGUCAAUGAUGGGAGUUAAUGUCAAGGAAUCAUAGAAUACCUGGGUUAGAAGGAACCUUAAAGCCCACCCAGUCCCAACCCUACAGUGGGCUGGCUGCCCCUCCCCCACCAGCUUAGGCUGCCCAAGGCCCAAUCCAGCCUUCCUCGAGCACCUCCAAGGAUGGGACACACGUCUGGGAUUGCCAUGAACCAAGUGCAACACCUUGAAUUUGGCCUUGGCAGUGUCAAGAACAACUCCAGCUUCCACCCUGGAACAACUUAGUUAGGGUCUCUGACUUCAGCCAACCAUGCCUCCCAUUUGUAACGUGUGCAGUGGGAUCCAUGACAUCUUAUCUCCCAUGGAUACGUAGCUUGGGUCAGGGUUCUCUGGUAUCUGGUAAGCUGCUUGUGCUGAACGGAACACCUCCUCUCGUGGGUUAUUUAUAACAUCCUGCUCUCCCACGCAGAUUGUCUGGUGUCUAAUAGUGGAUGAUGCACUACAGUUUGCAAGGUGCUAAUAAUCUCUCUCCUCUGUUUGACAGUCUGUUCCCAUGAGAUUUAUAGACUCUGACUGUCCCUGAGACCUCUGCCUCUCUGUCAGAUCAGGCUGAAAUCUGUUCUCAGUGUCAGAAGCUGCUGCCAAGCAGGCAGGGGAUGGACUGAUGCGUGUGUUUUGCAUCCCAUAAGAACUCAAGCACAGACCUGGGGGGCGAUGGGAGCUCUGAUUGCCAACUUGUGGGUUCAGGAAGGUGAGCCUCCAGGAGAAGGGCCGUGCCCGCAGCCAUCCUGCAUGAGAUGCCGUGCUGCGGGAUGCUCACGGGCUGCACUUCGUGUUCCCAUCGCCUGCGGUGACCAUCACAAGCGGCGCAGCCCCUGUGGGAACGGCCCCUGAGGACAAUAAACGAGCCAGCCCCGAGCUCCAGGCUGCUGUGAAGAAUUGCCUGGCUAAAGGAUAAUGAAUACCGCAGCAGGAGACGGAGCGUUUCUCCGAGGCCAUCCAUCCCCUUUAUCACCCCGCUAACAAGCCCCUGAGCGACUUCAGAGAGGCUUCUGCAGAGCAGCUCAAUCCCUCACCGUGCUGGCGGCUGGGUGCUGGGGGCUCUGCGGGAAGCCACAGCCCCAUCCCACAGAGCAACCACCAGUGCCCUCCAGGGGUCCGUGUAGUGCCAAGGAGGGGCAGAAGAGCCAGGCAUCCUUUUUUUUUCCAAGGCACUUUUGGGCCCUGCAGCACUCUUUGGAGCAUUGCUUUACCCAGCUCCCAGUCUGGCAAAGAUUUCUGAGGUCUGUGCGAGGCUCAGGAGGAGUUUAGUGCUGCUGGCCAGGAGGUGAGUUGGUUCUGCUUCACUUGCAGCACAGCUGAGUCUGUGCACGAGCCCGAUGCAGGGCAGAGAGGGCAGGAGCGAUGUGCUCUUCCUAAGAGCUAAUAAAAGCUGAUUCCUCCCAUAGCUCCGAGCCAGUGGGAAGCAUUAGUGGCUGGCUGAGUGCCUCCCACGCUGUGCAGCGUGCUGGGUGCUUGUCCUCCUGCGGAGGGAAAGGCAUCUCAGCAAGAACUCAGGCAUCCCUCCUAGGAGGGCAAACCAGGCGUGUAGCUGGGCAGCUGGGCAUGGGAGGCGAGUGGGAGCGCGUGGCACAAAAUUCCCAUUUCUGAGCAAGUUCUCCUGCCUAUGCUCAGGGCUUGGGGUGGGAGCGGCACACUCAUGGCCUGACUGGUGUCCAAAAAGCCCCGGUGCUGAAUGCCUCCAUUGAGAAGCUUACGUGUACGUCAGCAUCCCAAGCGUGCUGGUAUGUGGUGUGCCCACCUGCCUGAGUGUGUCUGGGGCACCGCAUGCAGUGUGUAGGCACUCAGCAGGGCUAAUUGCCAGUAAUUGGAAGGCUUCUUUUGUCUCCUCUUUCCUGCAUUAUUUUGCCUUCUCUUCCAGGUUUAUCUAUAGGAGGAUGCAUCUAGCACGGUCCCUGCAAGAACUUCACAUCCAGUGCUGGAGGAGGAGAAGGGAAAGCAAACAGUGUUGGGUGUUCUCAUCAAUAUAGGUGGCUGGGGGGGUGCGAGGGGGGGCAGAAAGCAGGAGAAAAGCUGAAAGCCCUUCAGGAAGGUGUAUAGAGCACAGUGAUGGGCAAUUAGGUUGUUCCAGGAAGGACAGAAGUAGCAGAGAGCAGUGAGCUGAGUCUGAGGAGCUCUCUGAUACUCAGCAUCAGCUUCGACUGAGGUCGCUGGGUAGGGCUGGUUGUGUUUAAUGCCUCAGUUUCCCCACGGGAGGGUUCAUUUACAGCCUGAAAACAUCUGGCACUUUUCCUCCUUUGGCCAGCACUGUUAUGUGUUGAAUUGAAGGGAAACGCAAUGCAUCACCCUCCUCAUGGGCUGCCACUCUGCCAAGAGUAGCGGAGAUUGGCCUUCCAUCAUGGGGGGCUGAGGUGGAAGGGACCUCCCGGAGCAUGCAGCGGAGAAAUACUGUCAUUAGCUGAGGAAGACCUGGCAGAGAUGGAGUGCUCCUUCACCUUGCCCGCCAGACCUCUGCCCUGCUUGCUGCUAACAGGACAGGGAAAUGCUAACUGUGCCAGCUGCAGUGCUUGGAGUGCUGUCUGCAUCCAGAUGUGAGAAACAGCUGGGACAGCAAGGCUUUUACAGCCUGGUGGGGGUGGCUUUGGUCUUUUUGCUGCCUAUCAACAAGCCCUUGCUGUUGGGAUCAAAGAAUGUUUCUCCAUACUUACAGUCAAUGGGUGCUGGAUGAUCCCCAGAGGUCCCUUCCAACCCCUACAAUUCCGUGGGUCUGUGAUGUCCCUGGCCAUGAAGGUCCCAGGAUGCAGGAGGUCUGCCUCCUGUACUUACCAGUGUAACAGGGCAGCCUUCGGGGUGGUGUAGGUUUGAAGGAUGCCUCACCUGCUCCUGUCUCACAGGUUGUAGGGAAAUCAUUUUAAUUAGCGUGACACGUCCCUUUGUGGGCAAAAAAAAAAGAAAGAAAAGAAGGAAAGCCAAUAGAAACUCCGGCCAUUCGGGGUAUUUUUAGUUCUUUGCGAAGGACUGUUAACAUCUCUCUCAGCUCCCUGAAGACUGCUUUGGCUCUGCAGUUGCCUGCGGUGCUGUGCUGACGCCAGCACACCCUGCAUGAAGGUAAGCCAGCCCCCGGGGCUGCGGUUCUGGAGAGCCUCGUUGCCCCAUCCUUGCUCUCGGGAUGCCCACCAGGCACAGCUCUCAGAGAAGGGGUGAGAAGCUCAGACGUAGAGUUCCCACACUGAGGCAUCUCCCCCCCUCCUUCCCUUUCUGAGCUGAGAGCAGCAAAAUUAAAGUAAAACUCGGCUCCUGAGCCUGAACCCUUCACCUGGCUUGUUUUCCCUUUUUUUUUUUUUCUCUGACCAUUUCGGUUGGCUGAGUGUCAUUGCCAGCCUAUUGCUUAUGGAGGGAAGGAGACCUGAGAGAGGAUAAAUCUGGAGGCAAUGAGGUUGGAGGGAGGCAAGUCAUCUGCUCUGACACUUUUAUAGUGGAGCGAGGCUGCUUGGGAGUGAAUCUUCCUUGCAGCAUAUGCUGUGGGAUGACGUUGCUUCCAGGGGUGGCAGUAGCCCUCCCCAAGCCUUGCUGCCCAGCCCUGUGUUCUUCCCUUGGGGCUGGGAAUGCCCUGGGCUGCAGGACCACUGGGUGGGUUCUUGGCUUUGGCCAUCAUUCCCUUUAUGGGUAUUUCAGGCUUUCAGCGCUCUGAAUGAAGGCAAAACUGUUGGGAUGUCUCAGAUGUGCCUGGUUUUGCCACCAGAAGAAGCCUUUUAUGACUUCAGCCAACGGACACAGGCAUUGUUUUGGACAUGAUGGAGCUGUUGGCUUGAGUGCGUUUCUUGUUUUGGAAAUGCAGAGGGCGCAACAGGAAUCACAGUGAAAUCCUCCUCUAAGUUGCCCAGGAGAGUGGGUGGCCUCAAGGAAAGGUUACCCCCAGCCCUAGGAAGGCAGUUCUGCAUGCUCAGUAGCGUGGUGAGGAGCUGAUGGCCAUGUUCCGUGCAAGGGUGGGAGCCAGGGGAGAUUCCAGGUUACACUGCACUCCCUGCUCCUUUCCAAUAUCACUGUCAACUUGGAUUUCACAUGGUGGUGGUGAUGCUGUGGCUGGCGUGACUGUAACAGAAUGUCACUGGGAGAGGUGAUGUUUUUCCCCCCAUAGGGGUACUUCUUCCUUUCCCUUCCCUCUGGCUUACAUGACAAACUUCAGACUCCCAGUGCCAACAUCUGUGUUGCCCAAGGGCCACCACACACAGCACUGGGCAUUGCUUUGUGCUGUGUCAGUGAGCAGCUCUGUGUCACCGGUGACACUCCAACACUAAGGGUUGAGUGGGUGACCAGAGGGUGACAUGUGUCACUGAGACAAAUCAGGGCAGUCGAGAGCUGCCGUGUUUGCCAUCAAGAGGAACAAUCCCUUACCAUACUAGCACCUUCCUACAGCAGCAUCCUGCUAAACCUGCCGGGCCAUCAGGCCCCAACCUGAGGUAAAUCUGGGUCUGACAGAUGGACAGACGUGUGAUGAUGGUUAAGGCUCUCCGUGGGCUGUCUUGCCUCCUCUAAGCAGGAGCUAUCAGGAAGGGAGUGUUUGGCAUGCUCAGCAGCCCCAUUGCCAACCUGCUGUCCUCAGGGGCAACUUCAGCAAAGCCCCUGUGCUGCUCUGUGUCCAGCUUUCAUCUUCCAGCUGGGUAUGGAGGAAGGCAGGAAUGUGUCUGCUGCUGCCAGGCUGUGCUGGAAAAUGUAGGCAGGGGACGCCUAUAUGCGUGCUUCAGGAUCCAAGAUCUUCAUCUGGUGCUUGUUCUCUAUUAGCCCCAAUCCCCUCUUGCAUCUUUUCCAGCUGAUGCCUGAGCUCGUUUUUGUUUUGUUUCCCUUUCUCCCUCACCUUAUGAAAAAUGGCUUUGCCAUCUGCAUCUGUCAGGAGUCUGUGGAGCCGGGCCCACGGCUCAGUGAGUCUACAAACGUGUGGUUGGAUUGUGGGCCCCACUGACAGGCUGGAGCCGAAUACCAAUGUGCAGGAGGAUGAGUGCACUCCCUUCUCUGCUGCUGGUGCCUCUGCUGGUUGUUUUUUUUUCCUAUCCAACGGAGGUGUGAGAAUUGCCUCUGGGAGCAAUGCUUCCUUCUGCUCCUGUUCCGCCUUGCCAAGGUUAGGUUCUCUGUUAUCCAUCAUCAGAUGAGGCCUCGCCUCACUCCUGCAUCUCAGCUGCUGAUGGGAGGGCUGGGGAAGGGGAAAUGUUCCACUCUGCCUCCCCGGCCAUCCCUUCCCCUCUCUUUUUGCAUCUCACCCACAGGUGCAGUGCAAGGCAGCAGGUAGGCUCGGGCCCAAGGACACUUAGAAUCACAGAACCAUGGAACAUCCCAAGUAGGAAGGGAUCACCAAGACCCAACUCCUGGCUCCGCACAGGACCACCUAAAACUCAGACCCUGUGUCUGAGAGCGUUAUCAAGAUGCUUCAUGAACUCCUGCUGCUCGGUGCUGUGCCCACUGCCCUGGGCAACCUGUUCCAUGCUUCACUGCCCUCUGGUGCAGAACCUAUUCCUGAUACCCAACCUGAACAUGAUGUUUCCUUUGCUUGCUGGUACCAAGUGGCUCUGGAGAGAGUGGAGACUGAGGUAGAUGAAGAUGAGGUAGAUGAUCUGUCCAACCAUACAUUCCUGCUUUAAAAUGUGAUUUUGUAUGGAAGCUUUUGGCCAAGUUGAGUCAGAGCCCAGGUAAGAUGUGACAGCACCAAGUGCUCCUGCACAUCUUAGCCUCACUAUAACUCUGUGAGGUCACACAGCUGUCCACAGGAGGUGACAACCUGCCUCGGCCCCACUAGCUUUGCCCACCCCCUCUCUGCCUAUUGGGUUUCCUGCAGUUUGCUACAUGAGCCACUUCCCCAUCCUUGCUGUGCUGACACAUGUAGAGCCAGGUGGGCUCAGAGGAGUGGGCAGAAGAUGAAAGGAAUCUCUCCAUGCUCUUGCCACAGCUCUCUGGUCAAGGAGGAGAAGCUUCUAGGAGGGUGGCCCCCUGCUUUGGCAGGAGGAGAGAGCCAGCAGCUUGAGCUGAGUUGGUUUUCCAACAAGCAGAUGGAUGUUCAGCAGGAGCCCACGGAAACCUUCUAGCUUCAGGCUAGCUGCGAGCCCUGCAAACCACAGCAUUGUGCUGAUGCAAAGAAAGCAUCGCUCUACUGCUGCUCAGUCUGAAUUACCUCUCUGGGGGGCAGCGUCCAUCCCCUGUGUCUGUGCUCUGCAUCUGGCUGGGCAAGGCCGUGCAAGGAGGGAGGAAGGCAGCAAUGGCAGCCUCUUCCCACAUCUCCACGCCGCGGGGCUCUUGGCGAGCUAGCGCAGUCUGCUCUGCAGGCUCUGAGUGCUCCUGCAGGUGGGAGCCAAUUUGUCUGCAUUCCUGCCCAGGUGCCAUCUGCUGUAGGAUUGCCUGCGCGAGGAUGAGCACGAUGGGGAUGGCAAAGG